Molecule: long non-coding RNA, 398 nt
Filed under: Triticum aestivum (bread wheat)
Lineage: Eukaryota; Viridiplantae; Streptophyta; Magnoliopsida; Poales; Poaceae
Description: long non-coding RNA (TAES_LNC011259)
Source: RNAcentral
UUAUAACUCUGUACAUAGAUGUAGCAUUCUGUUGCUUAACAAAAAUAAUGAUUGCAUGUAUGCCUGCAGAUGCUACACCCAUAAAAGAAAAAAGUGGACAAUUUUGACAAAUCUCAGUAGGGUGUAACCAUCAAUGUUGAGCCUCCUUCUAUAUCUGCACCAUCUUUGUUCAUAAGUAAUUGAAAUGUAGAGUUAAAAAAAAUAUAAUAGAAAAAUGAGUCACCUAAAAGUGGAUUUAAAAAGACUCGCAUGGAAAUGUCAACUCGCAUGGAAAUGUCACGAGGAUUGCUUCCAAUCUUCCGAAACUGAAGCAUGCAUCAUCAUCAAUUCACUUUCAUAUUUCAGGGUCAUUUGGACACAUCAAUGGAACACCAAUUACUUAUAUAAGGUUCAUGUUU